This 729-nucleotide ribosomal RNA is filed under the name uncultured bacterium. RNAcentral's name for it is "bacterial SSU rRNA". It matches the Rfam family "Bacterial small subunit ribosomal RNA", at positions 56 to 765 of the family's 1533-position model. The record is from RNAcentral.
UGCAGUCGAGCGGAACGAGUUAUCUGAACCUUCGGGGAACGAUAACGGCGUCGAGCGGCGGACGGGUGAGUAAUGCCUGGGAAAUUGCCCUGAUGUGGGGGAUAACCAUUGGAAACGAUGGCUAAUACCGCAUAAUAGCUUCGGCUCAAAGAGGGGGACCUUCGGGCCUCUCGCGUCAGGAUAUGCCCAGGUGGGAUUAGCUAGUUGGUGAGGUAAGGGCUCACCAAGGCGACGAUCCCUAGCUGGUCUGAGAGGAUGAUCAGCCACACUGGAACUGAGACACGGUCCAGACUCCUACGGGAGGCAGCAGUGGGGAAUAUUGCACAAUGGGCGCAAGCCUGAUGCAGCCAUGCCGCGUGUAUGAAGAAGGCCUUCGGGUUGUAAAGUACUUUCAGCAGUGAGGAAGGUGGUGUGCUUAAUACGCACAUCAUUUGACGUUAGCUGCAGAAGAAGCACCGGCUAACUCCGUGCCAGCAGCCGCGGUAAUACGGAGGGUGCGAGCGUUAAUCGGAAUUACUGGGCGUAAAGCGCAUGCAGGUGGUUUGUUAAGUCAGAUGUGAAAGCCCGGGGCUCAACCUCGGAAUUGCAUUUGAAACUGGCAGACUAGAGUACUGUAGAGGGGGGUAGAAUUUCAGUGUAGCGGUGAAAUGCGUAGAGAUCUGAAAGGAAUACCGGUGGCGAAAGGCGGCCCCCUGGACAGAUACUGACACUCAGAUGCGAAAGCGUGGG